Molecule: transfer RNA, 74 nt
Filed under: Aedes aegypti (yellow fever mosquito)
Lineage: Eukaryota; Metazoa; Arthropoda; Insecta; Diptera; Culicidae
Rfam family: tRNA
About the family: Transfer RNA (tRNA) molecules are approximately 80 nucleotides in length. Their secondary structure includes four short double-helical elements and three loops (D, anti-codon, and T loops).
Source: Rfam by way of RNAcentral
UGUUCUGUAGAUUAGUUGGUUAAAGCGCCGGCCUAGCGUGCACGAAGUUGUGAGUUCGAAUCUCAUUAGAACGC